This 301-nucleotide ribosomal RNA is filed under the name uncultured bacterium. RNAcentral describes it as "partial 16S ribosomal RNA". It matches the Rfam family "Bacterial small subunit ribosomal RNA", at positions 509 to 807 of the family's 1533-position model. The record is from RNAcentral.
CAGUAGCCGCGGGAAUACGAAGGGUGCAAGCGUUACUCGGAAUUACUGGGCGUAAAGCGUGCGUAGGCGGCUUUGUAAGUUAGAGGUGAAAGCCUGGAGCUCAACUCCAGAAUUGCCUUUAAGACUGCAUCGCUUGAACGUCGGAGAGGUGAGUGGAAUUCCGAGUGUAGAGGUGAAAUUCGUAGAUAUUCGGAAGAACACCAGUGGCGAAGGCGGCUCACUGGACGACUGUUGACGCUGAGGUACGAAAGCGUGGGGAGCAAACAGGAUUAGAUACCCCUGUAGUCCCUGUCUCUUAUAC